This 497-nucleotide ribosomal RNA is filed under the name uncultured bacterium. Its description in RNAcentral is "partial 16S ribosomal RNA". It matches the Rfam family "Bacterial small subunit ribosomal RNA", at positions 28 to 507 of the family's 1533-position model. The record is from RNAcentral.
GAUGAACGCUGGCGGCGUGCCUAAUACAUGCAAGUCGAGCGAACAGACGAGGAUCUUGCUCCUCUGACGUUAGCGGCGGACGGGUGAGUAACACGUGGAUAACCUACCUAUAAGACUGGGAUAACUUCGGGAAACCGGAGCUAAUACCGGAUAAUAUAUUGAACCGCAUGGUUCAAUAGUGAAAGACGGUUUUGCUGUCACUUAUAGAUGGAUCCGCGCCGCAUUAGCUAGUUGGUAAGGUAACGGCUUACCAAGGCAACGAUGCGUAGCCGACCUGAGAGGGUGAUCGGCCACACUGGAGCUGAGACACGGACCAGACUCCUACGGGAGGCAGCAGUAGGGAAUCUUCCGCAAUGGGCGAAAGCCUGACGGAGCAGCGCAGCGUGAGUGAUGAAGGUCUUCGGAUCGUAAAACUCUGUUAUUAGGGAAGAACAAAUGUGUAAGUAACUAUGCACGUCUUGACGGUACCUAAUCAGAAAGCCACGGCUAACUACGUG